Molecule: non-coding RNA, 463 nt
Filed under: Perkinsus marinus ATCC 50983
Lineage: Eukaryota; Perkinsozoa; Perkinsida; Perkinsidae
Description: Eukaryotic small subunit ribosomal RNA
Rfam family: Eukaryotic small subunit ribosomal RNA
Source: Rfam by way of RNAcentral
CACCUGGUUGAUCCUGCCAGUAGUCAUAUGCUUGUCUCAAAGAUUAAGCCAUGCAUGUCUAAGUAUAAGCUUUAAACGGCGAAACUGCGAAUGGCUCAUUAAAACAGUUAUAGUUUAUUUGGUGAUCGAUUACUAUUUGGAUAACCGUAGUAAUUCUAGAGCUAAUACAUGCGUCAAGGCCCGACUUCGGAAGGGCUGCGUUUAUUAGAUACAGAACCAACCUAGGCUCCGCCUAGUCCUUGUUGGUGAUUCAUAAUAACCCGGCGAAUCGCACGGCUUGUCCGGCGAUGGACCAUUCAAGUUUCUGACCUAUCAGCUAUGGACGGUAGGGUAUUGGCCUACCGUGGCGUUGACGGGUAACGGGGAAUUAGGGUCGAUUCCGGAGAGGGAGCCUGAGAACGCUACCACAUCUAAGAGCAGCAGCGCGCAAUUACCAAUCUGAUACAGGGAGUAGUGACAGAAA